AAUUUAGCAAGGGGGCUAUGAGUUCUACACCCAAGUUGGACUUGAAGAAAGUCAUUCUUUCUUGUGUGGAGCCAUCUACCUUCGCGUUGAAGCCUUUGCCAUCCAAUCUCAAAUAUGCAUAUCUCCUAAGAAGCUUUCAGAUAAAAGGAUAGAGAGGUAAUUCAAGACAGAACCUAUGAGCACAAGUAAGAAUUUUCUCACUGUGCCACGUGCCGCGGCGCACCAUCCAAAAAUCACUUAAAGCUUAUGUGAAUAGCUUAUGAAAAUAAAAGGGAGGAGGCUGGAGAAGCGUUUGAAGAGCAAGAGGAAGACAUCUCUACUAGGGCAAGUAUUAUCUGGAGCUCAGGAGUCUGCUUCGAUUGAUUACUUGCUAGGUAAAGAGAGAUUGAAAAGGCUGGAAAAGAAAGCAAGAAAAGAGUAGCCUCAAUUGAUAGUGAUAUGACUCCCUAUAAGUAGAUAUGAAUGUAUAAAUGUGUUGAUAGAAUUAAGUUGCCAACUAAGAUGCAUAUUUGUAUGUGAAUAUGAGAAAGUGGAUGGUAUUGUGAAACUUGCUUGUAUAUAUGUAUAUUUGAUGCAUUUUGCUAAGGUGGCCCUGAGGAAGGUGCAUGGGUAAACUCAAAUGCGAACA
Prosopis cineraria is the source of this 628-nucleotide long non-coding RNA. RefSeq lists it as uncharacterized. The transcript is spliced from 3 exons. NCBI's taxonomy places the organism in Eukaryota, Viridiplantae, Streptophyta, Magnoliopsida, Fabales, Fabaceae. The record is from RefSeq and is a predicted model, not a curated record.